GAUGAACGCUGGCGGCGUGCCUAAUACAUGCAAGUCGAGCGAACGGACGAGAAGCUUGCUUCUCUGAUGUUAGCGGCGGACGGGUGAGUAACACGUGGAUAACCUACCUAUAAGACUGGGAUAACUUCGGGAAACCGGAGCUAAUACCGGAUAAUAUUUUGAACCGCAUGGUUCAAAAGUGAAAGACGGUCUUGCUGUCACUUAUAGAUGGAUCCGCGCUGCAUUAGCUAGUUGGUAAGGUAACGGCUUACCAAGGCAACGAUGCAUAGCCGACCUGAGAGGGAGAUCGGCCACACUGGAACUGAGAAACGGUCCAGACUCCUACGGGAGGCAGCAGUAGGGAAUCUUCCGCAAUGGGCGAAAGCCUGACGGAGCAACGCCGCGUGAGGGAUGAAGGUCUUCGGAUCGUAAAACUCUGUUAUUAGGGAAGAACAUAUGUGUAAGUAACUGUGCACAUCUUGACGGUACCUAAUCAGAAAGCCACGGCUAACUACGUG
RNAcentral lists this ribosomal RNA (497 nucleotides) under uncultured bacterium. RNAcentral describes it as "partial 16S ribosomal RNA". It matches the Rfam family "Bacterial small subunit ribosomal RNA", at positions 28 to 507 of the family's 1533-position model. The record is from RNAcentral.